RNAcentral lists this ribosomal RNA (497 nucleotides) under uncultured bacterium. RNAcentral's name for it is "partial 16S ribosomal RNA". It matches the Rfam family "Bacterial small subunit ribosomal RNA", at positions 28 to 507 of the family's 1533-position model. The record is from RNAcentral.
GAUGAACGCUGGCGGCGUGCCUAAUACAUGCAAGUCGAGCGAACGGACGAGAAGCUUGCUUCUCUGAUGUUAGCGGCGGACGGGUGAGUAACACGUGGAUAACCUACCUAUAAGACUGGGAUAACUUCGGGAAACCGGAGCUAAUGCCGGAUAAUAUUUUGAACCGCAUGGUUCAAAAGUGAAAGACGGUCUUGCUGUCACUUAUAGAUGGAUCCGCGCUGCAUUAGCUAGUUGGUAAGGUAACGGCUUACCAAGGCAACGAUGCAUAGCCGACCUGAGAGGGUGAUCGGCCACACUGGAACUGAGACACGGUCCAGACUCCUACGGGAGGCAGCAGUAGGGAAUCUUCCGCAAUGGGCGAAAGCCUGACGGAGCAACGCCGCGUGAGUGAUGAAGGUCUUCGGAUCGUAAAACUCUGUUAUUAGGGAAGAACAUAUGUGUAAGUAACUGUGCACAUCUUGACGGUACCUAAUCAGAAAGCCACGGCUAACUACGUG